UCCGUACUCCGUACUCCGUAGUUGCUAUUCUGCUUUUCGUUUUACGACUUCGUACCGUGUGUGGUGUUGGUUGUGCUUCCUGUUUCCUUCUCAUUGUGUUUAUCUAUCGCCUUCCUUUGUUCAGUGUCAUAUAAAAGGAGUUGCUGCCGCUUUGAUUCGCGAACAUGGUGAUAAACAUAUAAACUAGUCCGAAUCUGAUUGUCUGUAGAACAUAGAGAAGUUGACCAAUGUGUUUCCUAACCAAGACCAUUACCUAGCUAGGUUGUAGGUAGUAGCAGUAGGUCAGCAAGCCUAAACUCAUAGCAAAGAUCAAUCAAGUACCGCAACUCGUGAAUGCAGCUAUUAAAAUGAACAUUCAUGUGCUCAACUUCUUUCAUGACAGGUGGUUCUUAAUCUCAGUUUGAAAUAAUGGACGCACACCUGUGCUGCUUGAACCUGCUUCAACAAUGUCAAUUACCCAGAUGUUGUGACGCCAGAUUUGAUAGACACAAUCAAUCAUUACCCUGUUGACAUACUGGUACUGCAUACAGAGAACUCCUGAGUCUUUAGCCUACAAUACUGUUUUUAAAAGCAAUUUUUUGUA
This is a long non-coding RNA of Macrobrachium nipponense, 583 nucleotides long. RefSeq lists it as uncharacterized. The transcript is spliced from 3 exons. The record is from RefSeq and is a predicted model, not a curated record. Lineage: Eukaryota; Metazoa; Arthropoda; Malacostraca; Decapoda; Palaemonidae.